Molecule: long non-coding RNA, 1397 nt
Filed under: Homo sapiens (human)
Lineage: Eukaryota; Metazoa; Chordata; Mammalia; Primates; Hominidae
Description: HSALNT0403971
Source: RNAcentral
UCUCACUCUUCUUGCCCAGGCUGGAGUGCAAUGGUGCGAUCUCGGCUCACUGCACCCUCCACCUCCAGGGUUCAAGCGAUUCUCCUGCCUCAGCCUCCUGAGUAGCUGGGAUUACAGGCACCCACCACCACGCCUGGCUAAUUUUUGUAUUUUUAGUAGAGACAGGGUUUCACCAAGUUGGCCAGGCUGGUCUCGUACUCCUGACCUCAGGUGAUCCGCCCACCUCGGCCUCCCAAAGUGCUGGGAUUACAGGUGUGAGCCACCGUGCCUGGCGGAGAGGUAUUUUAAAGGCAACACGAGGGUUUGUCUUCUGGACACAUGGAAGUCUGAAUGUCCUGGAUCUGAUGUUUGAUAAGAUACCUCUUCACUUUCCAUAAUUGGAAAGGAAAUUCUGAUGGAGGAAUCAAAUAAAAUUCAUAACAAACAGGACAUAAUUGAAUGGCAAGCAGAGAGGUAGUCACCCUUCGACAAAUGUCUGUCUUAGUGCCAGCACUCUUCUGGAGGCUUGUAGCUGUAGUCAGAUGAGCCCCGCUAUGCCUGGCUUAACUUCAUGAAAGUUUUAUGACUUAAUAAACAAGGUGUGGUAGGAGCCAGAGUGAGACUCAGGCUGGUCGAGCCUUGCCUAAGCACUCAGGAACAGGAUCAUGUGAAACAAUACCUUGCCCAGGUCACGGCUACGUCAGGUAUCAGCACUUUGCUUAUUUCCGGCCGAAGCCCAGGCCAAAGCUUGAUUUGGGUAUCAGCAAGUUAAAACUCAGGCACAUCCAUCUUUCCUGAUCCAAGUAAAUUCUAGUGGGCAAGAGGAAGAGAAGAGAAACUACAACAUCAUUAUCUUACUGCUGGAGGCAGCAGAUUACGGACCCCUGACUGUGAUGUGUCAAAUGCACUGUGUGACAACCAAGACCCUACACAUCUGGGGGGCACUUCAGGAUUCCUCCAGGCGGCAGUUGCUGGCCUAGACUCACUUCUUCAGGAGGGAGGUUCGCCCUGGAAAAGCUGAUUUGCAUUUCUGCUGGGAUCGAUGCCGUGGAGACUGAAUACAUUGAGGUCUCCAGGUGAAAGAAGAAAGCUUAACCUGGCUUCUGAAUUCCAAGAGCACACGGCAAAGUGGGUCUAAAUCAACGUCUGGUUAUGAAGGGCCUAGAGCCAGAUAGGAGCUUCUUACAGCUUUUGGCAGUUUCUGGUGGAGGCCAGCUCUCCUUGUCAUCUACCUUGGCCUGAGAAGCCUGUUCCCCUCUGCAGAGGAUGAGCUCAGGGCUACACCUUUCCUUCCAGGCUCUCAUGGUGUGGUCCAGGCUCCAUUUCUUUCUCUUUGAACCUCACUUCAACAUGAUUAGAGUGACUGAAGGUAAAGAAAUAGGAACUGUUUUACCGUAAAUAAAUUAGUCCCUGCUACA